GCCAAGUACUGAGAAGUGGUUCCACUGGCCUAUCCACCUCCCACCUCGUUUCAGAGGCCUAAACUUUGGAAUGGAUAGACUAAGCACAUCAGUUUGUUUGGGGAAGACUAGAAAGGUUUGGCAGAUACAUCAAGCCAGUUCAUUAAUGCACAGAUGAUUCCUUCACAUUAAGAAAGACACGUUGGAGCACCAUAAAUGUCAAGGCAGUUAUUACACACAAAAAGCAUAAAAUGGCAACCAUCAAAAGAUUCAUAGCCAAAAGGGACUUGCCUUAUCUCAGUUGAGGCUUUGGACUUGGAACUUUGAGAAUAACCAGCAAUGUUCCAGAAAUUAUCUGCUCUCUCGCCCUGGUCUCAACUUGCAGAAGAUGGGAAGCAGAGCUCCCAGCCUGCCCAAGAUGAACAUGUGGUAUAGACAAGAAAUACACCUCUGU
Long non-coding RNA from Homo sapiens (human), 433 nucleotides. RefSeq lists it as uncharacterized. Lineage: Eukaryota; Metazoa; Chordata; Mammalia; Primates; Hominidae. The transcript is spliced from 4 exons. The record is from RefSeq and is a predicted model, not a curated record.